GACGAACGCUGGCGGCGUGCCUAAUACAUGCAAGUAGAACGCACAGUUUAUACCGUAGCUUGCUACACCAUAGACUGUGAGUUGCGAACGGGUGAGUAACGCGUAGGUAACCUGCCUGGUAGCGGGGGAUAACUAUUGGAAACGAUAGCUAAUACCGCAUAAUAUUGAUUAUUGCAUGAUAAUUGAUUGAAAGAUGCUAUUGCAUCACUACCAGAUGGACCUGCGUUGUAUUAGCUAGUAGGUGAGGUAACGGCUCACCUAGGCGACGAUACAUAGCCGACCUGAGGGGGUGGGUGGCCACACUGGGACUGAGACACGGCCCAGACGCCUACGGGAGGCAGCAGUAGGGAAUCUUCGGCAAUGGACGAAAGUCUGACCGAGCAACGCCGCGUGAGUGAAGAAGGUUGUCGGAUCGUAAAGCUCUGUUGUAAGAGAAGAACGGGUGUGAGAGUGGAAAGUUCACACUGUGACGGUAUCUUACCAGAAAGGGACGGCUAACUACGUG
This 505-nucleotide ribosomal RNA is filed under the name uncultured bacterium. Its description in RNAcentral is "partial 16S ribosomal RNA". It matches the Rfam family "Bacterial small subunit ribosomal RNA", at positions 28 to 507 of the family's 1533-position model. The record is from RNAcentral.